RNAcentral lists this ribosomal RNA (847 nucleotides) under Staphylococcus sp. 11613138. RNAcentral's name for it is "bacterial SSU rRNA". It matches the Rfam family "Bacterial small subunit ribosomal RNA", at positions 63 to 892 of the family's 1533-position model. Lineage: Bacteria; Bacillati; Bacillota; Bacilli; Caryophanales; Staphylococcaceae. The record is from RNAcentral.
CGAGCGAACAGACGAGGAGCUUGCUCCUCUGACGUUAGCGGCGGACGGGUGAGUAACACGUGGAUAACCUACCUAUAAGACUGGGAUAACUUCGGGAAACCGGAGCUAAUACCGGAUAAUAUAUUGAACCGCAUGGUUCAAUAGUGAAAGACGGUUUUGCUGUCACUUAUAGAUGGAUCCGCGCCGCAUUAGCUAGUUGGUAAGGUAACGGCUUACCAAGGCAACGAUGCGUAGCCGACCUGAGAGGGUGAUCGGCCACACUGGAACUGAGACACGGUCCAGACUCCUACGGGAGGCAGCAGUAGGGAAUCUUCCGCAAUGGGCGAAAGCCUGACGGAGCAACGCCGCGUGAGUGAUGAAGGUCUUCGGAUCGUAAAACUCUGUUAUUAGGGAAGAACAAAUGUGUAAGUAACUAUGCACGUCUUGACGGUACCUAAUCAGAAAGCCACGGCUAACUACGUGCCAGCAGCCGCGGUAAUACGUAGGUGGCAAGCGUUAUCCGGAAUUAUUGGGCGUAAAGCGCGCGUAGGCGGUUUUUUAAGUCUGAUGUGAAAGCCCACGGCUCAACCGUGGAGGGUCAUUGGAAACUGGAAAACUUGAGUGCAGAAGAGGAAAGUGGAAUUCCAUGUGUAGCGGUGAAAUGCGCAGAGAUAUGGAGGAACACCAGUGGCGAAGGCGACUUUCUGGUCUGUAACUGACGCUGAUGUGCGAAAGCGUGGGGAUCAAACAGGAUUAGAUACCCUGGAGUCCACGCCGUAAACGAUGAGUGCUAAGUGUUAGGGGGUUUCCGCCCCUUAGUGCUGCAGCUAACGCAUUAAGCACUCCGCCUGGGGAGUACGACCGCAGG